RNAcentral lists this ribosomal RNA (449 nucleotides) under uncultured bacterium. RNAcentral describes it as "partial 16S ribosomal RNA". It matches the Rfam family "Bacterial small subunit ribosomal RNA", at positions 29 to 523 of the family's 1533-position model. The record is from RNAcentral.
AACGAACGCUGGCGGCAUGCCUAACACAUGCAAGUCGAACGAGACCUUCGGGUCUAGUGGCGCACGGGUGCGUAACGCGUGGGAAUCUGACCUUUGGUUCGGAAUAACAGUUGGAAACGACUGCUAAUACCGGAUGAUGACGAAAGUCCAAAGAUUUAUCGCCAGAGGAUGAGCCCGCGUAGGAUUAGCUAGUUGGUGUGGUAAAGGCGCACCAAGGCGACGAUCCUUAGCUGGUCUGAGAGGAUGAUCAGCCACACUGGGACUGAGACACGGCCCAGACUCCUACGGGAGGCAGCAGUGGGGAAUAUUGGACAAUGGGCGAAAGCCUGAUCCAGCAAUGCCGCGUGAGUGAUGAAGGCCUUAGGGUUGUAAAGCUCUUUUACCCGGGAUGAUAAUGACAGUACCGGGAGAAUAAGCUCCGGCUAACUCCGUGCCAGCAGCCGCCGUAA